Patella vulgata (common limpet) is the source of this 348-nucleotide long non-coding RNA. RefSeq lists it as uncharacterized. NCBI's taxonomy places the organism in Eukaryota, Metazoa, Mollusca, Gastropoda, Patellidae. The transcript is spliced from 3 exons. The record is from RefSeq and is a predicted model, not a curated record.
UUUAACAGAAUACGAAGUUCUGGUAAAAUGUACCCUUGAUGCCCUUCAAUGUGUUUCUAUAAAAGUAUUUGAACAUGUUUUAGUUCAGAUGUUCAUGUUUUAUGGUUUGCAUAGCAUUGUACUACACCGCUCUGAUAGCCUGAUAACCUUCCAUCUAAAUGACUCAAGUACGGAACGAAUUGGACACAAUUUUAGACGUCUUGAGAACUUUUAUAUUCUGGGUCAGCGUUUAUUCUAUCGUGAACCUCAUCAGAUUUCAGUAUUUGAUUUAAAAACAGAAAAAUCCAGAGUUAUUGUACCUUUGCAAUCACCCGGCGAUUCCAUUCUUAUCUACGCCAUAGAUAUGGG